RNAcentral lists this unclassified non-coding RNA (344 nucleotides) under soil metagenome. RNAcentral describes it as "partial contains 5.8S ribosomal RNA, internal transcribed spacer 2, and large subunit ribosomal RNA". The stretch from base 1 to 120 matches the Rfam family "5.8S ribosomal RNA", at positions 35 to 154 of the family's 154-position model. The record is from RNAcentral.
GAUGAAGAACGUAGCGAAAUGCGAUACGUAAUGUGAAUUGCAGAAUUCAGUGAAUCAUCGAAUCUUUGAACGCACAUUGCGCCCGCCAGUAUUCUGGCGGGCAUGCCUGUUCGAGCGUCAUUUCAACCCUCAAGCCCCCGGGCUUGGUGUUGGGGAUCGGCGUGCCCUCGCGGCGCGCCGUCCCCUAAAUCUAGUGGCGGUCUCGCUGUAGCUUCCUCUGCGUAGUAGCAACACUCGCACUGGAUCGCAGCGCGGCCACGCCGUUAAACCCCCCACUUCUGAAAGUUUGACCUCGAAUCAGGUAGGAAUACCCGCUGAACUUAAGCAUAUCAAUAAGCGGAGGA